This 247-nucleotide ribosomal RNA is filed under the name uncultured bacterium. RNAcentral describes it as "partial 16S ribosomal RNA". It matches the Rfam family "Bacterial small subunit ribosomal RNA", at positions 523 to 769 of the family's 1533-position model. The record is from RNAcentral.
AUACGUAGGUGGCAAGCGUUGUCCGGAUUUACUGGGUGUAAAGGGCGCGUAGGCGGGAUAGCAAGUCAGAUGUGAAAUGCCAGGGCUUAACCCUGGAGCUGCAUUUGAAACUGCUGUUCUUGAGUAUCGGAGAGGCAGGCGGAAUUCCUAGUGUAGCGGUGAAAUGCGUAGAUAUUAGGAAGAACACCAGUGGCGAAGGCGGCUUACUGGACUGUAACUGACGUUGAGGCUCGAAAGCGUGGGGAGC